AUUGCAAGCCCCCACCUAUGUUGGUUAAUUCUGCUUCACAUGGAAGAGACAGCCAUUGGGCCAGCCCUGAACAAAGAUCCCUGUCACCAAGAUCCACUGCUCCUGCUGUGGUCAGGCAAAGAGAAGGUUAUGUCUCCUGAGUUCUAGUUCUCCGUCCUGAAGUCCAUGUAAUGUGAGUUACAAGCCGUCUGCAGAGUUACCCAAGCUCCAUGAAACAAUCAUAAAGGAACAAAAGGACAAAGUAAUUGGGGGAAUAUAACAACAAUGAACACAGGGCUAGAGUGUGUAAUCCUGUUGCUGUCGUUAAUCCUGUUGCAGUUCACUCUUAUCCAAUUCUGUAUGCUCCUUAGAUCCAGAAACAGGCAUGUUAUGUCCUUGUGCAUCUGCUCUGCCCAGCUAGAUGUUGUCAUCCCUACCCAAGAAGAAUGCAUUAGAUCCAGUAAAAGCUUCAUGUUCAGUCUCAGUUGCAAAGAGCAGAGCAUUUCAAAGUAGGGGUCAUGAAGCCUGCUCCAUGGGCUUUACUGAUUGUCUGCAGGAAACCGCUCUCAUCUUAACCUCUGUGUCCUUGAAUCAAAAGACAUUUUUGCUGGUCACACAGGACAACGUUUUCUUAAUAUUCCUCAAAUUUCCCUACCAAAUCUUAAAAGUAUGAUUCUCCUCUGAGAGUUAAAGUAGCAAAACCUGUAUAUGACGCACAUGAUUCUUCAUUUUUUAGAAGAAACCAGAAAGACAUUUUGUAAAUGGACAGCUGAGUGAUAUGGGGCUAGUAAUGGAAGGGAGGCUUUGGAAGGGCUGGCCUUGAAUGUGAUUAACUUAACAGUAAAACCUGAUGAAAUCAAUCAGUUCCUUCCUGAAGAGACCACAGCAUGGUGCUGAAGAGCGUGAUCUCAGGAAUACAGAACUGGAUUUAAAUCCCUGCCUCAGAUGACUUUGUGAACCACGUAUCCUCUAUGGAAAUCAGUUUCUUCAUCAUUGAAAUGGAGAUAACUGGUAUUAUCCGCAGUGAUUUGCUUGCCUUUCUUACACUGUCUUGAUAUCUGCAUCUUUGAGAAUCCAAACUGACACAGUUGUCACCAGAACUGGACCAAGAAGGCAAGUGGCAAGAUGGGGUUUGGAAAUUGAAUCUCUGACCACCAUCUGGCUAUGGUAUGUGGUUCAUGGACAGUUCUUAGCAUAAGGUGGCAGCCCAAUUGGUAAAACUUUCAACAGUUGUGGACCUGGAAAAUGUCCCAGUGGAAGGAAUGCCCUUCCUAAUGUGAAGACUCAGAAAUUGGAAAGGUACAUGGGACAAUGCACACGGGACAGUGGGAUUGACUCAUUAUUACUAAGUUGCCUUGACCCUCUACAGUGUGAUAAAGAGAAACAGGGUAGUUAACAAACAGCUAAAAAUUAAGCAUGUUGGCCAGACAGCUUUAUUGGUAGCUUAAAAAGAGGUCAUUAUCACCUGCAGUGGAUGAUUAGAUACAGCUGAGAAACAAACACAGGAUCCAAAAGUGAGGGUCACUUAUGGGGAAUUAAGAGGAUGGUUGAUUAUACCUGAGAGCUGAAGGGCAGGACAGAUGGGGAGCCAAGAAAGAUGUUUCUGAAUAUAUAUGAUUAAAACAGGGUGAGAGUGGAAAAGCAGAAAGCUGAUGCUAGUUGCACUAAUAAAAUAUCAUGAUCUGUUGCUCAAUUUCUAGGCCUAACCCAACUUUCACGUCAGAACCUAUUGAGUUAAGAGUUGGAGUAAGAAUCAUAUAAUGUCACAGCAAGUAUAUACUGCAAAGAUUCCUCCAGGAAUCUUUUCCAAAGGGACAUUUGACCACUUACUUGGAUGACUAUACACUGGGGGAGAAAAGGGAAUACUCAUUUUGAUGACUAUUGGACACAGAUAAUGCAUUGACAUUGAUACCCAAUGAUCCAGAGUAUUAUCCUGGCCCCCGUAUUAGAAUGGAGCAUACAGGAACCAGGAAAUAAAUGGAAACAGGAUUAAAUCAGGCUUGCAGUGGGUCCAUUUCUCGAGUCUCCAAGAGCAUAACUGGGAUUAAAAUACGUGGCAGUGGAGUAACCUGCACCCUGGAUUCUUGGCUUGUUGGGUGACAAUUGUUGCUGUGCAGAAUGCGAAGUGGAACUUUCUGAAACUGCCACCCCCUCUACCCAUGGGCAAGAACAAUAUCACAUUCUAGAGGGCAAUGGCAGAGAUUAGUGUCGCUCUUAAAGCUCUAAAGGAUGUAGGACUGGUGGUACCUAUCCUAGCUCCAUUUAAUUUGUCCAUGAACCCUGAAUAAAUCAGAUAAAUCCUUGAAAUAACUGUAGACUACCACUCAACCAAGUAACAUUCCUGAAUACAUCUGCCAUGCUGGGUGUUGUAUUGUAGCCACUAAAUGGGCAAACACAUAUUUUUAUGCAUCAGAAAAGAGGACCAAAAAUUGCUUGCAUUCACAUAGAAUGAACAAAAACCUUUCUUUACAG
RNAcentral lists this long non-coding RNA (2451 nucleotides) under Homo sapiens (human). RNAcentral's name for it is "HSALNT0020984". The record is from RNAcentral. Lineage: Eukaryota; Metazoa; Chordata; Mammalia; Primates; Hominidae.